AUGUUGGAAUGGAUAAACAUUUAGGUCAAUACAAGGUGAACGUUUUCUAGGCAAUAAUGAAUGAAUGACAAUUGGUAUGUGAAGCUGUAGAUGUAGAGGCGGAAGAGUGUGGAAUCACACCAGGCCUGGAGCACAGCAACACAUUUGGUGGACAGGAUGCAUAUAAGCCCCUUCCACUCCAGUUAAUUACUGUUCGUAUUAGGCUUUCUUAUAAAUCGUCUCAUUUGGUUUAUCAGAUUAGAAAGCAAAACAACAACUGGUAAUUUUAUUUCUUCUCCACUCUGCUAUGUGGAAUCUGUGAAGGCAGUACUUUAAAUAGACACAUUGCAUAUUAAACCAAUCUAAGAAAAUGAAAUUAUAAUUUACAUUAUUUCAUGUAUAAGUAGGUAAUGUUAACUAAAGUUAAUAGAGAAAUUCUAUGGAUGUAUAUUCCUGACAUUUUUCAUAUGUAAAAAAUAGCUAACAAUUAUGGGUCACAUAUUGUGUGCCAUGCACUGUACUUAACACUUAACAUCAGUUAUCUUAUUAAUCGUUUACAUAAGUAAUUUUUAAUGAAGAAUUAUCUAUAAUGUUGAACCAAUUUACUUCAUAUUUGGAACUGAGUAGUGAUAAAAAUGACAAUAAGAUUGCAACGUUUUUUAAAAGUGACUUUAGCAGACAGUACAGUUGCCCAAAGUUUGUCAGGCAGAGUCAAGUAUAGCCAAGAAAAGAGAAUUAGUAAAUUGGACAGGAAGUUAGUCUCUAUUUGAAUUUUGAAUGUGUCAUAUAUUUUAAUUGUUGACUAUAAAAUCUUAAUUUUCAUUUGCAAUAUUUAAGACUUAUUCCUGGCAACAUCUUAGUUCCAUCAGGAAGCUUUCGCCUGUCUGCUUCAGAUUUUCAACAUAAACUAUUCAUCAGAGGCCGACUUUUGCAGGCAAGUGGCAUACAAGGGACUGUCACUCAAAAUAUAUAUUUUUAAGAUGGAAAAGUCUAUUUUGCUCAGAUUUAUUUUUUUGUCUCCCAAUAGACAACAUGGGACUAAAGUAAUUUAUCUCUCAACUUGCUAGGGGAUGUUUUAAAUUUCGGUAAGCAGCAGUGUUAUAUUAGCAUGGACCAUUUGGGCAAAUAUGUUCCAGGGAGAUAAUAAAUAACUAAACUGCAUGGUUAAAAAAUCAGAAACAAAACAAUUUGUUCUUGUCAUCUGGUGGUACUUAAAUUAUGAAAAAUAGCUCUCCAAAGGUUUAACUAAUCCCUGAAUCUACUUUGAAGCUGUUGCUGACUUUAUUCUAUCAUACUGCACAUAAUAUCUUGAAAUCCACUGAAAACCUGUGUUUGCAUGUGUAAUACCUUCCAAGAUGAUGAUGUUUAAUAAUUUGCAUAAAGAUAUUUAGGCUGAAGGUUAAUAGAGAAACAAGAUUACUCAAUUCUAUCAUUUGUGCCUGUGGUAAUUAGUUUAUAUGCCAUAGUUUUAAUUAAAGUAUUAAAUGAUACUGGUAUAACUAUACUUUCUGGGGAAGGGACUGAGGGAAUUUUUAGUGAUAAGACAGGGAAAUGAUUAAGAAAGAAAUGCACACACAUGCUCAAACUGAUCAACAGAGGGGCAAUGUCUUAACUAUCUGAAAUUCUUAAUUCAGAACUGUUUUGAAAACUGAGAAAGUUGUCGUUUAUGUGGUCAUGUCAUCCAACCAUAAUGAUAUAUUUUUCAUAUACAGCAGAUCAGGUCCUUGCCACAGAUAAGUUGGAGGGUGAACACUUGCUCUCUGUGGUAAGGGUGUAGAUAUUAUUCAUCUUUGUUUCUCUAAUACUAAGCACAGAAAAGGUUGCCAAAACAGUUGUUGAAUAAGUGGAAUGUGGCUCCCUCAGUUGAUGUUGAGACCCCAAAAUCUCCCUGUAUAAAGUCUAAGUGAGAUGGGAACAGGAGACUGGGUUAAGGGAGAAAGAAUUCAUCUGAGACUUUUUCUCCUUUAAUUUUACCCACUUAAGGCAUUUAACUGUUUUUUUUUUUUAAAUUUCCUCCCCUAAUUUUCUAUUAGCACAGAAUUCAUUUUAAGCAAAAUUCACGUCUAUAAAAGCAUCAGAACAGAAUUUGGGUGAUUCAGUGUGAAUCCUCUUUCAUUACUGAGAAUUGUCCUUUGUCUCAAUUCUGUUAAGAUUGGAUCUGUAUAUAUUUUGGUGACUCAGUGAUUUGAAUCACUUUAAUGAAAGACUGAUUUACUUAACUUAGCUGCACAUAUCUUAACAUAUAUUUUGAAAGAGCAAAAAGAUAGCUGUAAAUGGUUUUGAUAUGAAAGAGAAUGACUCCUUCUCCAAAAUAUGAUUUUUUCUCAAAAUUAUAAUUGAAAUUGUUUUUGAGCUAAAUAAUUCUGAAACCAUUCAGACAAAAAAUCACAAAUGAAUAAUUGAAUUUUUUUUUAUAAGAAAACAUGAACUGACACUGAGAAAAUACUUUGAUGUAGUGGCAUAAAUUAAGUGCUCUUUGAAUGUUUGGCAUAAUAUGUCAUAUUCUGUAGCGGUGGAUUUGGUUAACAGAGCAGAUGCAGAGUUACAGGUUCUCCAAAUCCUGACGCCCUAUAUGAAUUUAUGCUUAUUAAAAUUGAUCAAGUGAGCUUUUCUGUUUCAUGAAAUAAAGGAAUAAUGAAAUGUGUAUGUUAUCAAUGAAAAGUUUGGGGUUUGAAAAAGAAGAGCAUAUUUAUAAUACGGGUUUUCAAAAAAUGCUCCUAAGCCAAAAGCAAUAUCCCAUUUAUUGGUGGAGAAGAAAUUCAGUUUUAAGGUAUUGGAUAUAACUGGUUGCAUAUCCCACUAAGAUCUAUGUUUUCUUCUUAAAUUGUGACAACCUCUCUAAGCACACAUAUUUGAAGAAGUGUUUUCUCAUUUUGUUGUUUUCUAUAAAAAGUCACAGUUUUGUUUUUUCAUUGAUGUUUUGACCAU
Molecule: long non-coding RNA, 2907 nt
Organism: Sapajus apella (tufted capuchin)
Lineage: Eukaryota; Metazoa; Chordata; Mammalia; Primates; Cebidae
Exons: 3
Source: RefSeq, a predicted model, not a curated record